GACGAACGCUGGCGGCGUGCUUAACACAUGCAAGUCGAACGGAAAUGCCCUGCUUUUGUGGGGUUCUCGAGUGGCGAACGGGUGAGUAACACGUGAGUAACCUGCCCUUGACUUUGGGAUAACUUCAGGAAACUGGGGCUAAUACCGGAUAGGAGCUCCUGCUGCAUGGUGGUGGUUGGAAAGUUUCGGCGGUUGGGGAUGGACUCGCGGCUUAUCAGCUUGUUGGUGGGGUAGUGGCUUACCAAGGCUUUGACGGGUAGCCGGCCUGAGAGGGUGACCGGCCACAUUGGGACUGAGAUACGGCCCAGACUCCUACGGGAGGCAGCAGUGGGGAAUAUUGCACAAUGGGCGGAAGCCUGAUGCAGCAACGCCGCGUGCGGGAUGACGGCCUUCGGGUUGUAAACCGCUUUCGCCUGUGACGAAGCGUGAGUGACGGUAAUGGGUAAAGAAGCACCGGCUAACUACGUG
RNAcentral lists this ribosomal RNA (468 nucleotides) under uncultured bacterium. RNAcentral describes it as "partial 16S ribosomal RNA". It matches the Rfam family "Bacterial small subunit ribosomal RNA", at positions 28 to 507 of the family's 1533-position model. The record is from RNAcentral.